GAGUCCCUGCAACACAUUUGAAAAUGGCAACAGACAAAAUGAAAACUUCAAGAGCGCCUGGUCCUCUUGAUAACACUCUACGUCUCCCAUUUCCAGAAGUGCCUACGGACGAACCGAUGAUUGUGCCAAGGACCGUCCUAAGAGAAGUGCUUGAUAACACUCUACGUCUCUCAAUUCCAGAAAAAACCAGAGAAACCACGAAAACGCAUACAUCUCUCCCUGAUCUCAUCACAAUGAACGUGUUUAUGGAUCCAAAGCAAGACAUACCACACUAAAAAAAUCCCACAUUUUCGCAAGCGCACACAUCUGAGUGAUCUCGUCCGCUUGCGUUCGGAAUAAAAGAACCUUUGACGGGAGCCUACAAAAAAACAGGUGUAGUUAGAACUUCAAGAAUCCAUCUAUGGAGACCAAACCGAUGAUUGUGCCAAGGUCGUCGUGGCGAAGCAGAGUCCCUGGAAGAGUCCAUCGCUCUGCGAGCCAAAUGUGGUAGAGGAGAGAAAGCGGCUGCUGGUCAGGAGGCGCAGAAGCGAGCCCAACCCUAAACCAUAAACCCUGUAAGGAAUAUGUCGCGCUGUUCCAGAGGGUCGU
This 588-nucleotide long non-coding RNA is filed under the name Selaginella moellendorffii. RNAcentral's name for it is "long non-coding RNA (SMOE_LNC000848)". Lineage: Eukaryota; Viridiplantae; Streptophyta; Lycopodiopsida; Selaginellales; Selaginellaceae. The record is from RNAcentral.